GCGGAGCCAGGGCUGGGCUGGGCUGGGCUGGGCUGGGUGCUGCCGAGGAGGGGGCUGCU
Molecule: microRNA precursor, 59 nt
Filed under: Ochotona princeps (American pika)
Lineage: Eukaryota; Metazoa; Chordata; Mammalia; Lagomorpha; Ochotonidae
Description: miRNA (ENSOPRG00000021909.1)
Source: RNAcentral